GGAGGAUUCGCAUAGUGGCCGAGUGCGCGCCUCGAACACGCGUAGACGAAAGUCUCGAAGGUUCAAAUCCCUCAUCCUCCG
RNAcentral lists this transfer RNA (81 nucleotides) under Ignavibacteria bacterium. RNAcentral's name for it is "tRNA-Phe". It matches the Rfam family "tRNA". Rfam says of the family: Transfer RNA (tRNA) molecules are approximately 80 nucleotides in length. Their secondary structure includes four short double-helical elements and three loops (D, anti-codon, and T loops). Lineage: Bacteria; Pseudomonadati; Ignavibacteriota; Ignavibacteria. The record is from RNAcentral.